GACGAACGCUGGCGGCGUGCUUAACACAUGCAAGUCGAGCGGAAAGGCCCUUCGGGGUACUCGAGCGGCGAACGGGUGAGUAACACGUGAGUAACCUGCCCCAGACUUUGGGAUAACCCUCGGAAACGGGGGCUAAUACCGGAUACGACACAGCUUCGCAUGGGGUCUGUGUGGAAAGUUUUUCGGUUUGGGAUGGGCUCGCGGCCUAUCAGCUUGUUGGUGGGGUGAUGGCCUACCAAGGCGACGACGGGUAGCCGGCCUGAGAGGGCGACCGGCCACACUGGGACUGAGACACGGCCCAGACUCCUACGGGAGGCAGCAGUGGGGAAUAUUGCACAAUGGGCGGAAGCCUGAUGCAGCGACGCCGCGUGAGGGAUGACGGCCUUCGGGUUGUAAACCUCUUUCAGCAGGGAUGAAGCGUAAGUGACGGUACCUGCAGAAGAAGCGCCGGCCAACUACGUG
RNAcentral lists this ribosomal RNA (462 nucleotides) under uncultured bacterium. RNAcentral describes it as "partial 16S ribosomal RNA". It matches the Rfam family "Bacterial small subunit ribosomal RNA", at positions 28 to 507 of the family's 1533-position model. The record is from RNAcentral.